RNAcentral lists this ribosomal RNA (254 nucleotides) under uncultured bacterium. Its description in RNAcentral is "partial 16S ribosomal RNA". It matches the Rfam family "Bacterial small subunit ribosomal RNA", at positions 524 to 776 of the family's 1533-position model. The record is from RNAcentral.
UACGGGGGGAGCAAGCGUUGUUCGGAUUUACUGGGCGUAAAGGGCGCGUAGGCGGCCACCGCAAGUCGGUUGUGAAAUCUCUGGGCUUAACCCAGAAAGGUCAACCGAUACUGCGGGGCUAGAGUGCAGAAGGGGCAACUGGAAUUCUCGGUGUAGCGGUGAAAUGCGUAGAUAUCAGGAGGAACACCAAUGGCGAAGGCAGCUCGCUGGGACGUGACUGACGCUGAGACGCGAAAGCGUGGGGAGCAAACAGG